This 440-nucleotide ribosomal RNA is filed under the name uncultured bacterium. RNAcentral's name for it is "partial 16S ribosomal RNA". It matches the Rfam family "Bacterial small subunit ribosomal RNA", at positions 338 to 795 of the family's 1533-position model. The record is from RNAcentral.
CCUACGGGAGGCAGCAGUGGGGAAUAUUGCACAAUGGGCGAAAGCCUGAUGCAGCGACGCCGCGUGAAGGAUGAAGUAUUUCGGUAUGUAAACUUCUAUCAGCAGGGAAGAAAAUGACGCCACCUGACUAAGAAGCCUCGGCUAACUACGUGCCAGCAGCCGCGGUAACACGUAGGGGGCAAGCGUUAUCCGGAUUUACCGGGUGUAAAGGGAGCGUAGACGGCGAUGCAAGCCAGCUGUGAAAGCCCGGGGCUCAACCCCGGGACUGCAUUUGAAACUGUGUGGCUGGAGUGUCGGGGAGGCAAGCGGAAUUCCUAGUGUAGCGGUGAAAUGCGUAGAUAUUAGGAGGAACACCAGUGGCGAAGGCGGCUUGCUGGACGGUGACUGACGUUGAGGCUCGAAAGCGUGGGGAGCAAACAGGAUUAGAUACCCGAGUAGUC